GCAACUUAUGAAUAUCGAACGAUAUUCCCAUGUUAUGCACAUAAGCUCAACGAUAACGGGAGAGAUGCAAGAACAUUUGAGUUGCUGGGAUGUGCUGCGUUCUGCAUUGCCGGUUGGAACCGUGAGUGGAGCACCAAAGGUUAGUGUAAGUUUGAGGUGAUUUUGGUUGAGAUAGGAAGAUUAUCUAAUGCAAUGGAUGGUGG
Molecule: small RNA, 203 nt
Filed under: Vigna angularis var. angularis
Lineage: Eukaryota; Viridiplantae; Streptophyta; Magnoliopsida; Fabales; Fabaceae
Description: Non-protein coding transcript
Source: RNAcentral